Molecule: non-coding RNA, 43 nt
Filed under: Trypanosoma brucei brucei
Lineage: Eukaryota; Euglenozoa; Kinetoplastea; Trypanosomatida; Trypanosomatidae
Source: RNAcentral
AAUAAAACCACAAUUAGCAAGUAAGAAGGUAUCAGAUGGUAAU